Cygnus olor (mute swan) is the source of this 2918-nucleotide long non-coding RNA. RefSeq lists it as uncharacterized. The transcript is spliced from 2 exons. NCBI's taxonomy places the organism in Eukaryota, Metazoa, Chordata, Aves, Anseriformes, Anatidae. The record is from RefSeq and is a predicted model, not a curated record.
UGGAUGGCCUAGAAAAGGGCCAGGUUGGCUCAGGUUUUGGUUUAAUGUCCUCAGAGGUGGGAGCUGGUUUGUUGUGCAUCUGCACCCUCUUGCCCAAGGAGCUGGGGUGUCUCCAGGCUGAGUGAACCAGAAGGCUUUCUUCCCCUUCUUGUGGUUGUCACGGCUGCUUUUGAAAUAGCAGAGGGGCUGCUGAGGGAUUGUAUCCUGAUGGUGGCAUCCUGCCAGGAAGGAUGGAGGAAGCAAAAGGAGAUGCUGGUGGUGGGGGCUUUCUGCUCUCUAGAUAGACAGCCUCUAACUCUUCCAAGGCAAUUCACAACCCUGCAACUCCAGCAGAGCCGCUUGUUUAUUCGUGACAGAUGGGAUCGGGGAGUGUUUCCCAAAUUACUUCCUGAGCUGGGACUUCUUGUUUCAUUUGGUGCUCGGGAGACCUCAGACAACAGCUGAUUAGUCACAAAAUGACGUCCCAGGUACUCGGUGAAUGUUAGGAGGGCUGCUUCCAGAGCUGAAACCUAUUAUUCCCUGUUUGCUUGUUUGGGAAGCCGUUGUGCAUGAUCCUCGCCUGCAAUACCCCAAGCACAGAGGACAGGGAAACCGAUCCUGAGCAGGCUCAGCUUGGCUGAGCCCCGCAGCAGCCAGGAGCGAGCAUGGUGGCCCUGUGGUGCAGAGGCAUGGGGCAGGCUCCAGCCUUCAUCCCUGGCUCUCUGGAGACCCAGCCUCUACCAUGCCAUGGGAUUAGUGUGCGGGUUGCUGUUCCUCAGGUCUGUAAGGUGUCCCCGUAGUAUCCCCAGGGAAAUGUGGCCUUGGUCUCGCUGGGGACUCCAGGGUGCUACUGAGCAGAUAUCUGUAAAUAAUUCAGUAAAUGCCUCUGGGGGAUCAUGCAUUUCAGCAGCCAGGGAGGCAGGUACUGUGGUUUCAGUCAGGAUUAUUUGCAUCAAAGAGCAGGGCCCUGAUGUACCGGUACCAGCCGGUGCUGCUGAGCGCGGAGGGAAGCACUGCCCCAUUACUGAGCUCCCUCUGCAUAAAUAUCAAAUCCUCCCCUCACCAGCAGCAAGCCUGGACUCCAAACUUCAGCAGGAGAGCAGCCUUGGACCCAAACUUCCCUAAAGCUCAACUAAUUGGUGUCUGAAGCAAGCAGCAGGACUGUGAUGCUCGUAGUACUUGGUCUCACCAUCAGAAAGUGCUGUGUAUCACAUCAAGUCCCCCUGACCAUGGACUAUGACAGCUAUAUGGAAAUAAUAUGGGCACUGUGGAAAUAAAUGCUGAGGUUUGAUUUCCCCUGGAAAGCUCCAAGGGGAGGCCUGGCAGAGCCCCACAUCCCGUGCACAUCGCUCCACCGCGUGGGGCAGCGGCUUGUGUUUUCCACGUGCCUCGCUGACUGCUAUCUCCUGAAACAGGCCGGGGCGAGCUGUGCCAAGGAAUCACACCAGGCUGACACCCAACACCUGCUGAAGGAUGGAAAACCUGUCCUUCCCAGGGGCACGAGGCUCGGGGGCUCAGCCCAGCCGCUGCUGCCCGUCUCUGUGCAGCGAUUCCUGCCUGGGCCCCGACCCUCCCAGGGGAGGGGAAUGGGGGGCUUGGGGGAUGGUCCCCACCUCCUGCCAGCUGUGCAGGUGAUGCUCAGAGCACUUGUUGCCUUCCAAACACCUGGAUGCAAUAAGAGCUGCCCUUAGCACACUGAGAACUGCCAGUAAGAAAUCCUACCGGUGCUGUCUUAAGAGGGUAUCUGAGUCAAACUGUCUCUGAAGGGUGGCUAAUAGCCGAUUUCUGGUGAGAUGGGGUGAUCCUGUUUUUCAUUAGGUAUUUCUAGGGGCCUCCCCAUCUCCUGGGUCAGCACCUCGGUAGCUGAGGGUGGCGUUGGAGGUGCUGCUGGGCACGGUGCAGACCCCGAGCAGCUCAGAGCUGCCACAUGGAUGCUGGAAGCGUUUCCCCUCUCCCUGCUCGAUCCCACGUGGGCUGUGGGGGAAGCAGAGCUCUUGGAAAGCAUCUCUGUGCGUGUGGGAGCAGGCGAGGGCUGUUUGUGCUAUCUUUGCGAAGGAAAAUGGGAUCAAACCCUCCCAGUGCAGUAGCUCUGCCCAGGCUGUCAGUGUUUUCUUUGUAUGUUUGAGGACGGAGCACCCCGAUGUCCCCUCUCCCUCCUAUUCCUGCUGGUUUUCCCCUCCCUUUCUUCUCCUGAGGUGCUGGAGGAUGGGGUCAGUGAUCAUUUCCUGGCUCGGUACACAAGGAAGCUCUUCCCAGCUGCCUCCCAUCAGACCCAGUGGACUUUUUGGGCAAAUACAGAGCUCAGAUCUCCAUCCCCACGUGCUGGUGAGGAGGUGGCAGUGUCCUCACUGCAGGCACCAGGCAGGUGAGGAUGAGCCUGGAGCCACCUGCAGGGGCUCCUGCUGCUUCUGGGCUCUGAAUCCAUGUGGAUUUUCCUUGGCUUGCAGGGCAAGACAAGCAAAUGCAAGAAGACUUGGAGCCUUUUACGUGGGCAAAUCAAAUCCUGAACUGCUGUCAGUUAAUUACAAUGAUUCAGUGCCCUGUGCAGCCUGCAGCUCCCCGCAGAGCCCUUGCCCCGGCUGCUCCAGAGCUGCAGGAGCUGGCCAGAUGCAGCAGCUCCCUCCGUAAUUGCGUUUCCUUUCAAUUAUGGCUCUCGCUGGCCCGAGCCUGGGAAGCAUUUCGUGUGUCUGUGGGCAGACUGGCUCAGCUACGCUUCCUGCCUGCAUGGCUGGCAGGCAGGCACCCGGCCACGACUGAAUCCAGGGUGAAAAGCGAGCCAAGCAGCGCCGGCGGUGAUGUGCAGGAGGUAUCGGUUACUGGCCCGGGGUGACCCGGCCGGGGAGUUUCAGGGAUGAUGUGACUGGCACCCAUCUGUUACUCUGCGGGGAAACCAGCACUGUUAGCUGGGAGAAAGGAGGAGAAAUAUGGGGGAAUAACCG